This 460-nucleotide ribosomal RNA is filed under the name uncultured bacterium. RNAcentral's name for it is "partial 16S ribosomal RNA". It matches the Rfam family "Bacterial small subunit ribosomal RNA", at positions 338 to 795 of the family's 1533-position model. The record is from RNAcentral.
CCUACGGGUGGCAGCAGUGAGGAAUAUUGGUCAAUGGGCGAGAGCCUGAACCAGCCAAGUCGCGUGAAGGAUGAAGGAUCUAUGGUUUGUAAACUUCUGUUAUAUGGGAAUAAAGUGAGGAACGUGUGCCGUGUUGUAUGUACCAUAUGAAUAAGCAUCGGAUAACCCCGUGCCAGCAGCCGCGGUAAUACGGAGGAUGCGAGCGUUCUCCGGAUUUAUUGGGUUUAAAGGGUGCGUAGGGGGUUAAUUAAGUCAGCGGUGAAAGUUUGUGGCUCAACCAUAAAAUUGCCGUUGAAACUGGUUGACUUGAGUAUAUUUGUGUUAGGCGGACUGCGUGGUGUAGCGGUUAAAUGCAUAGAUAUCACGCAGAACUCCGAUUGCGAAGGCAGCUUACUAAACUAUACCUGACACUGACGCACGACAGCGUGGGGAUCAAACAGGAUUAGAUACCCGAGUAGUC